AACUUUGCGCAGUGGCGAUACAGUAACCAAUGAUCGAAUUAGAGAGGUGCUGUUAUUGCUAGUUGAAAACUAUAACCAAUACCCCGCCCAGUUGAUGUGAAAUCCCAUCGGUUGAGGCAAUUUCUGCAUGCUCUCA
Molecule: small nuclear RNA, 136 nt
Organism: Eurytemora carolleeae
Lineage: Eukaryota; Metazoa; Arthropoda; Copepoda; Calanoida; Temoridae
Product: U4 spliceosomal RNA
Exons: 1
Source: RefSeq, a predicted model, not a curated record